GACGAACGCUGGCGGCGUGCUUAACACAUGCAAGUCGAACGGAAAGGCCCUGCUUUUGUGGGGUGCUCGAGUGGCGAACGGGUGAGUAACACGUGAGUAACCUGCCCUUGACUUUGGGAUAACUUCAGGAAACUGGGGCUAAUACCGGAUAGGAGCUCCUGCUGCAUGGUGGGGGUUGGAAAGUUUCGGCGGUUGGGGAUGGACUCGCGGCUUAUCAGCUUGUUGGUGGGGUAGUGGCUUACCAAGGCUUUGAAGGGUAGCCGGCCUGGGCGGGUGACAGGCCACAUUGGGAUUGGGAUACGGCCCAGACUCCUACGGGAGGCAGCAGUGGGGAAUAUUGCACAAUGGGCGGAAGCCUGAUGUAGCAACGCCGCGUGCGGGAUGACGGGCUUCGGGUUGUAAACCGCUUUCGCCUGUGACGAAGCGUGAGUGACGGUAAUGGGUAAAGAAGCACCGGCUAACUACGUG
This 468-nucleotide ribosomal RNA is filed under the name uncultured bacterium. RNAcentral's name for it is "partial 16S ribosomal RNA". It matches the Rfam family "Bacterial small subunit ribosomal RNA", at positions 28 to 507 of the family's 1533-position model. The record is from RNAcentral.